GCAUCGGCCGUAUCCCCACCCACUUGUUUUGGUCCAAGGGCAGAAAUGAACAUCCUGGAAACCAAUCAGUACUUGCGCUCUGAACUGGAAAAGUGCAAACAGAACUUCCGAGACCUCACAGAGAAAUUCCUGACAUCCAAAGCAACUGCCUACUCCCUGGCCAAUCACCUGCAGAAAUACAAGUGUGAAGAGUGCAAAGACCUUACAGAAUCUGUGCUGCAGGAGGAGCUGCAGUUUCAGGAGAGGGAGCUGGCCGAAUUGCCGAGACCAGCUACAAGGCUCUGAUACAUGAUCCCUUAAUUCAGGCUCAGGCUGAAGAACUGACCCACUUACUACAGAAGAUACAGGAAGGAAGAGGUGUCUACUAGCUUUUCACCCAGCAUGUGAAGAACACAGUCAAGUCUUUUGAGGGCCUUCUCAGGAACACUGGCAUUGCCUGCUACCAGAGACAGAGAUUCUGUGAGCAAAUGGUACAAGGAAUCCAGCUGACAGAGGUUCUUGUCAGAAAACUUGCCACAGAAGAUGAGAUCCAGAGCCAGUGGCAGCACCUGAAGGAAACCCUUUUCAUCAACAACUGCCUGCCAGGAAUGCUGGAAUGUCAUCUCAGCAGCUUUGACGAACAAAAUGGUAGGAGAAGCCCAAGUUGGUCUGCUUCUGGCAAUAUGUAUUUUUCUAAAGGCAUGUCACUGGUGCAGAGUUUUAUAGAUUUCAAGCACUUUGACAUACUUUACUUCACUUAUUCAUUACAAAGGUCCCAGCUAGAGAGGUAGGG
RNAcentral lists this long non-coding RNA (772 nucleotides) under Rhinopithecus bieti (black snub-nosed monkey). RNAcentral describes it as "lncRNA (ENSRBIG00000045618.1)". The record is from RNAcentral. Lineage: Eukaryota; Metazoa; Chordata; Mammalia; Primates; Cercopithecidae.